This 463-nucleotide ribosomal RNA is filed under the name uncultured bacterium. RNAcentral's name for it is "bacterial SSU rRNA". It matches the Rfam family "Bacterial small subunit ribosomal RNA", at positions 30 to 507 of the family's 1533-position model. The record is from RNAcentral.
AUUGAACGCUGGCGGCAUGCUUUACACAUGCAAGUCGAACGGCAGCGCGGGGGCAACCCUGGCGGCGAGUGGCGAACGGGUGAGUAAUGUAUCGGAACGUAUCCUGUAAUGGGGGAUAACCAGUCGAAAAGAUUGGGUAAUACCGCAUACGCACGAGAGUGGAAAGUAGGGGAUCGCAAGACCUUACGUUAUAGGAGCGGCCGAUAUCUGAUUAGCUAGUUGGUGGGGUAAAGGCCUACCAAGGCGACGAUCAGUAGCUGGUCUGAGAGGAUGUACGGCCACACUGGGACUGAGAUACGGCCCAGACUCCUACGGGAGGCAGCAGUUGGGAAUCUUAGGCAAUGGACGAAAGUCUGACCUAGCGACGCCGCGUGAGGGAAGAAGGCCUUCGGGUUGUAAACCUCUGUCAUGGGGGAAGAAGUAAGUGACGGUACCCCAAGAGGAAGCCCCUGCUAACUACGUG